AGAUUGAACUGAAGAGUUUGAUCCUGGCUCAGAUUGAACGCUGGCGGCAUGCUUUACACAUGCAAGUCGAACGGCAGCACGGGGGCAACCCUGGUGGCGAGUGGCGAACGGGUGAGUAAUAUAUCGGAACGUACCCGGAAAUGGGGGAUAACGUAGCGAAAGUUACGCUAAUACCGCAUAUGCCCUGAGGGGGAAAGCGGGGGAUUCGUAAGAACCUCGCGUUUUCGGAGCGGCCGAUAUCGGAUUAGCUAGUAGGUGAGGUAAAGGCUCACCUAGGCGACGAUCCGUAGCUGGUCUGAGAGGACGACCAGCCACACUGGAACUGAGACACGGUCCAGACUCCUACGGGAGGCAGCAGUGGGGAAUUUUGGACAAUGGGCGAAAGCCUGAUCCAGCCAUGCCGCGUGAGUGAAGAAGGCCUUCGGGUUGUAAAGCUCUUUCAGCCGGAAAGAAAUCGUACAGACUAAUACUCUGUAUGGAUGACGGUACCGGAAGAAGAAGCACCGGCUAACUACGUGCCAGCAGCCGCGGUAAUACGUAGGGUGCGAGCGUUAAUCGGAAUUACUGGGCGUAAAGCGUGCGCAGGCGGUUUUGUAAGACAGAUGUGAAAUCCCCGGGCUUAACCUGGGAACUGCAUUUGUGACUGCAAGGCUAGAGUACGGCAGAGGGGGGUAGAAUUCCACGUGUAGCAGUGAAAUGCGUAGAUAUGUGGAGGAAU
RNAcentral lists this ribosomal RNA (718 nucleotides) under Candidatus Nitrotoga sp. RNAcentral describes it as "bacterial SSU rRNA". It matches the Rfam family "Bacterial small subunit ribosomal RNA", at positions 1 to 707 of the family's 1533-position model. Lineage: Bacteria; Pseudomonadati; Pseudomonadota; Betaproteobacteria; Nitrosomonadales; Gallionellaceae. The record is from RNAcentral.